CAAAAGGUAACGCAGUUGGUAGCGUGUUCGCUUUGGGAGCGAAAAGACACAGGUUCGAACCCUGUUCUUUUGA
This 73-nucleotide transfer RNA is filed under the name Ishige okamurae. Its description in RNAcentral is "tRNA-Pro". It matches the Rfam family "tRNA". Rfam says of the family: Transfer RNA (tRNA) molecules are approximately 80 nucleotides in length. Their secondary structure includes four short double-helical elements and three loops (D, anti-codon, and T loops). The record is from RNAcentral. Lineage: Eukaryota; Phaeophyceae; Ectocarpales; Ishigeaceae.